GACGAACGCUGGCGGCGUGCUUAACACAUGCAAGUCGAACGGACAGGCGCGGCUUUUGUUGGGUGCUCGAGUGGCGAACGGGUGAGUAACACGUGAGUAACAUGCACUUGUCUUUGUGAUAACUUCAGGAAAAUGCGGCUAAUACCGGAUAUGAGAUAUUGCUGCAUGGUGUGGGUUGGAAAGUUUCGGCGGUGGUGGCUGGACUCGCGGCUUAUCAGCUUGUUGGGGAGGUAGUGGCUUUCAAAGGCUUUGACGGGUAGGCUGCCUGAGAGGUUGAACGGCGACAUUGGGACUGAGAUACGGACCAGACUCGUACGGGAGGCAGCAGUCGGGAAUAUGGCACAAUGGGCGGAAGCGUGAUGCAGCAACGCCCGGUGCGGGAUGCCGGCCUUCGGGUUGUAAACCGCUUUCGCAGGUGACGAAGCGUGAGUGACGGUAAUGGGUAAAGAAGCACCGGCUAACUACGUG
RNAcentral lists this ribosomal RNA (468 nucleotides) under uncultured bacterium. Its description in RNAcentral is "partial 16S ribosomal RNA". It matches the Rfam family "Bacterial small subunit ribosomal RNA", at positions 28 to 507 of the family's 1533-position model. The record is from RNAcentral.